AAAUGUUAUGUAUAGUUUGCCACAAUUAAAAGUAAAUAAAUAUAUUUUUAAUCCACCUUCUUCCCAAUAUGGUGAGAGGCAGAAGGAGACUCCUUCAAUCGCUGUCAUUUCAAAGCUGUGCUGCCUCUCACACCAUAUCCCUAGGAACCCGAACAAAAAGACAAGGAGCCAACAUAAAGGGGAUUCAGGGGUCCCCAGGGGGCCUCCCCAGCAUCCUGGGACUGUACUCCCUCCUGGGGAAGGUAAAUAAAAUCAGUUCAUCAACCAUCAACUCACUGGAAAGCAGGAAACAGACUCUCUAAAAUCAGCCCAGAUUGCUACAUAGGAAUUGUCCAAAGUCCAAAAAGUUGCCACUCUUUAAAGGAGGCAGAGGAGAAUACAUAAAAACUGAGAAGGAAGAAACAAGCAAGGUGGGGUAGAGAAGGACUCCAGUGCAAUCAAGAAGGAGACUUCUAGCCUGAGACCAGGGGUGGAACUCAGGUUUAUUUUGUGCCCAACUGGAGCCAAGAUGGUUGUGAAAAGGGGCCGCGAUCACAGCUCGUUCAUUCACCUGCACUCCCACCUCCCCUCUGAAUCUGCCACAUAGUUAUCUAAGCUGCCUCCACCAACGAACCCUCUGGAGAAAGAAGAAUAAUGGAAACUCAGUCCAAGGAGCUUAUUUCCUGUUCGGAGGGGUUUCGCAAGGCAGCAGAUUGAAAUUAAUGACAAAAGUAACUGAGAUUCUUGUCAAUCAAGCUCUCCCUGAAUCAGGCUGAAAUCUGUCACUCAAGAGUUUCUUUAAGGGUGUCUCAUUCCUGCAUUAUAGAAUAAAAUGGAACAAACAUUCUC
Sapajus apella (tufted capuchin) is the source of this 828-nucleotide long non-coding RNA. RefSeq lists it as uncharacterized. The record is from RefSeq and is a predicted model, not a curated record. NCBI's taxonomy places the organism in Eukaryota, Metazoa, Chordata, Mammalia, Primates, Cebidae. The transcript has 2 exons.